This is a long non-coding RNA of Sinocyclocheilus anshuiensis, 114 nucleotides long. RefSeq lists it as uncharacterized. The record is from RefSeq and is a predicted model, not a curated record. Lineage: Eukaryota; Metazoa; Chordata; Actinopteri; Cypriniformes; Cyprinidae. The transcript is spliced from 3 exons.
CUGUCUGUGUGUUGAGAAAAUAUUGUGAGUGAGGGGCAGAGGCACUUCCUUGAGCCUGAGGCUUAUUAAUUUCACUUUUGGUGUGAAAGGGCCUUUACAGUUGCCAAAAAUAGA